RNAcentral lists this ribosomal RNA (482 nucleotides) under uncultured bacterium. RNAcentral's name for it is "partial 16S ribosomal RNA". It matches the Rfam family "Bacterial small subunit ribosomal RNA", at positions 28 to 507 of the family's 1533-position model. The record is from RNAcentral.
GACGAACGCUGGCGGCGUGCUUAACACAUGCAAGUCGAACGAUGAAGAAGAGAAACGCGAACUUCGGUUCAAAUUUCACUUCGGAUUAGUGGCAGACGGGUGAGUAACGCGUGAGCAACCUACCUCUUACAAAGGGAUAGCCUCGGGAAACCGUGAUUAAUACCAUAUGACACAUUCAUAAGGCAUCUUAAGAAUGUUAAAGCUACGGCGGUAAGAGAUGGGCUCGCGUCCCAUUAGCUAGUUGGUGAGGUAACGGCCCACCAAGGCGACGAUGGGUAACCGGCCUGAGAGGGUGAACGGUCACAUUGGAACUGAGACACGGUCCAAACUCCUACGGGAAGCAGCAGUGGGGAAUAUUGCACAAUGGAGGGAACUCUGAUGCAGCGACGCCGCGUGAGCGAUGAAGGAAUUCGUUUCGUAAAGCUCUGUUCUAUGGGAAGAAAAGGACUGUACCAUAGGAGAAAGCCCCGGCUAAAUACGUG